UUGUAUUUAUCCUGUUGCUCGCAUUUGCAUUUGGGGUUUUGCAUUUGCAGCAGGGUCUGCAUUUGCCCGUUUGCAUUUGGGGUUUUUGUGUUGGCAUUUAGGGUUUUGCAUUCACCCCGUUGCUCACAUUUGCGUUCAGGGUUUUGCAUUUGCAGCAGGGUCUGCAUUUGCCCCCGUUUGCAUUUGGGGGUUUUGCUUUUGCCCCAUUGCUCACAUUUGGGUUUUGGGGUUUUGCAUUUGGGGUUUUGCAAAAGCUCUGCAUUUGCAUUUGGAGGUUCUGCAAUUUGCAUUUGCAGCGGGUUUUGCAUUUUGGGGUUUUUGCAUUUGCGUUUUGGGGUUUUGCAUUUGCAGCAGGUUUUGCAUCGCCCCGUUGCUCACGUUUGCAUUUGGGGUUUUGCAUUUGCAGCAGGGUUUGCGUUUGCAUUCGAGGGUUCCCACAUUUGCAUUUGGGGUUUUUGCAUUUGCGUUUUGGGGUUUUGCAUUUGCAGCAGGGUUUGCAUUUUCACCCCAUUUGCAUUUGGGGUUUUUGCAUUUGCAUUUAGGGUUUUGCAUUAGCCCCAUUGCUCACAUUUGCAUUUGGGGUUUUGCAUUUGCAGCAGGGUCUGCAUUCACCCCAUUUGCAUUUUGGGGUUUUGCAUUUAGGGUUUUGCAUUUUGGGGUUUUGUGUCUGGGGUUUUGUGUUUGGGGUUUUGUGUUUGGGGUUUUGCAUUUGCCCCAUUACUCACAUUUGCAUUUGUGGGUUUUUGCAUUUGUGGGGUUUUUGCAUUUGG
Molecule: long non-coding RNA, 770 nt
Filed under: Phasianus colchicus (ring-necked pheasant)
Lineage: Eukaryota; Metazoa; Chordata; Aves; Galliformes; Phasianidae
Description: lncRNA (ENSPCLG00000013353.1)
Source: RNAcentral